CCGGCGCCGGCCCCGCACGGCCGCCGCCAAUGGCCGCGCAGUCCGCCUGCCGCCGCCGCGCUUGUUAGGCGGCGCGGGCGCGGGAGCAGGUGCCCAGCAGCAGGUGCCCGGCAGCCGCCCGCACCGCACCGCAUCGCGCAGGAGCGGAAGGGCUCGAGCGAGAGGCGCGGUCCCGGCUGUAACCAAGAAACUUUCCUCGCUCGCCGAGCCCUCUUCGAGCAGCACGGCGCUCCGCUGCCAGGGAGCUCCUGGCUCCGGUCCGGCCCCGCGCGGCGCGCCCCGGCGCCGUUCUGGUUGCGGAGAGGCGCUCCCGGGCCCACGGACCCCGCGCCGCGUCCGUGCCGGAGGUGCCGCCGCCAAAACCGGACUGGAGCAAAAGGGAUUCACUGUGAACUAUGAGAAAUGAAGCGCUGCAACAAAAGUUUUCUAAGUGGCAGAUGGCGUGCAAAAGUAAACUUGUAUGCAGAGAUUAAAAUCAACUGGAGUUGGUAGCAUCCUCUCUGGAAGUUAAGUAUCAUUCAAAGCCGGUCUCCAAGUGUGCAAACCGGUACAAAUUUUGGGAAAGGCUUUCACUUAUUUGGGCUGUUCUCACUGUGUUAACCUGGCAAAUCGCUCACUCUGCAAACGGGUGCCAAUAAAACCUUGCUCCUACUGGCGCGCCGGGGCGGUGCGGGGGUCGGGGUGCGCGUAGCCCAUGGCCUCGGGCCGUGCGGGAGCCGGUACCGCUGCGGGACGGGAAGCAGCAGCGCGGAGGCGGCUGGGGGCAGCGCAACCGCAACAAGGAGACGGGGGAAGGAAGACGGUCAGAGCGGCGUCGGAGAUAGCAGAAACAAUAACUCCUGCGAAGCCUGAAAUGGAGAGGGAGGAGCCACGCACAGGCUGCCAGGAGCUGUCCCGCUGGCAGCUUCUGGUCUCUGCUGUAUCGCGGCUGAACUGGGCACCAAGACAGGACAUAUGCAAAAUCAUUUUACUGUGGCACAAACACAAGAAAGAUGAUCUGGAAGAAAGGACAGGGGCCAGAGUUUCUGUCUCUUAUUCUCCUGCUCACCAUGCUGCAAACUGGCCGCCAUGAAUUCCAGGCAAUUAAAAAGGACAUGAGUUCCGAAGCAUUUUAAAAGGAGCUUUGCUUCCAAAUGGUGUUCUCAGAGGUCUACACACACAACUCUACCAACCACAAGUAGCUGACUGUCAGUGUGAAAGCUGUAUUCCCAUGUUGCACCAUAUACAUCAACUCACACCUCAAUUUAUCCGGUGUUAUGCAAUACAGAUGUGACAGAAACAAUCCAAUUUGACCUUUGACAACAUAUUAUUAGGUCAGUAUGUAGCUUUCUGGGUAACUUUUUAAAAAUCUGUUAUCUGACCUUUGUGUUUUUUUUUUCUGUGGGGAAGUAUUGCAAAAGCCAGAAACAAUACCGACAAUUCAUGAAAUAUUCAAGUGUACAGUCGCAAUCUUUUAAUAAAUGGAAGUGACCUUCAAAAGAGACAUCCCAAAGAUUAAGAGAACUUCUCCAUAGAUGGCAUUUGUCACUAAUCAAUGACUCGCAGAACUUAUACUCUUCCUAGAAAUGAAUACAAAAAAGAUCUUUCAGAAUUUUAUCACUUUAAAAGUAAAUUGUUCACAAAGCCCACAGAAAAGAGCAUUAAUGAGCUAACAAAACAACAGAACAAAACAUCGAACAAGAAAAUUGAAAGGCUACAUACCCUGUGCCUAUUGGUACCUAUGUCCAUAUUUAGAGAGCUAGAAUCAUCUGCAUCCACACGCAGUUCUCUGAGGCUAGAUGAUACUAUCAGAAUUGACUACAUUUCUUCAGCUGCAUUUGUAUGUCAAAAUACGUGGAACAUUUUCCUAACUGAUUUUCAUAGUCACAAAGAUAUUGGGCUCUAACUGGGUCACGGUAUUGGAACAGAUGUAAUCUCAGCAGAAUACUGUGAGAAAUCUGGGCUACAUUAAUGACUGAUCCAAUUACAGUGGAAAUCUCUAGAAAACCCAGAUUUACUAAGAACCAGGAGAUAAUUAUGAUGUACUUCUAGGGACAAGCAGAUGGACCAGCCAGUCUCAAACUCUGUAAGAAUAACAGAGCUGAAUGAGAGGUGCCCGUGCUGUUGCCUACAUAGUUGGAGAUAUUCCCAUUCUGAGAAUAUGAUGAAAACAGACGGAGACUUUCAGCAGACACCUGAGGGGACUGGAUCAAAACACAUCCCAUACUGGGAAGCAGCAUGCCUUAUGCCCUGCUGUGACAACAGGGUGACAGAGGAAUAGGUAUCCAGGGGAGAAAGAGAGAGCAGGAAUCAAGAAAACACAGGCAGCUUUUUGUCCAAGGAGGAUAUGUACAUGAAAGAGCUCCUUAUAAUUUAGUAUCAGGUCCUCUUGAAAAGUUAUGUUUUCUCUCCUGAAUAGGCCAAUAGAUGCCACCUUCCAAAUAGCAGCCUGAUACCACACCUAAGCAAACCCAAUAAUCUACCAUAGCUUUGCACCCAGAAAAAGAGAAUGAAAAAUACUUGAGAAAUCUGAGUAUAAACACCUCCUUUUACCAAUCCAAAGGCAGACAAAAUUUCAUAGCAUCCUUAUCUGUGAUCUUGAUAACAUCUUUCAUCAGAGAGAUGUGUCUCUACCUCUAUGAAAAUUACCUCUGUGAGUAGUCCCAUUAAGGUAAUUUGGAUCUAAGAGGAUGUAUGAUGUUAAACAUUUAGUUAAUUACAAAUGUUGCUAAAUCAAGAUUUUUUUUCAGAUAAAUAUUUUACCAGAAAAGAUAUAUUAAACAGUGGAAUGUAAUAUUUCUCAUUUAUAGAACUUGCUGCCAGCUCCGAGCUAGUAAAUAUUUACAUUUCAGGCACUUUGAUGGCUAAUGUGACCUUUCUGUUGCACACUUUACACCUGUGCUGUAUUUUAGUUUCAGUGUUAACAUUCUUUCUAGUCCAUCUUACAUUAACAAGCAGUAUUUAAAUAUAUGCAAAUUUCAUAUUUUAGCUGAUGUUUUAGGAACAUUUUUAAGGUCACCCUGUUUGAUCUAUCAUACAGACAUAGCAAAUUUAUGCACUAUAUAUCCUAUCUCUACUUGUUUUUACCUACAUCUGUCUUCUCUGAUUGCAUUUGAAUGGGCUUAUUUUCUACUUUAAAUAAAAGAUUUAUGCCUUAGCUGUCAGUUUGCCUUUAUUUGAAAAUUUAAUUUUGUUUCUAGAAGUCUAGAUUAACUUAUUAGAUUUAACUGUCCCUUGUGCUUUGCAGAGAUAGCAGAAGUAUAUUUUCCCUUGUGGAGAGAAUACAUAAACAAAAUGCUCUCAGCUUAAGAAUAAAGAAUGUUAUUACUUAGACCAAUACAACACAGUCGGUCCAGGAUACAAAAACUGAUGUUGUGAUAUUUUUUAAAUUUAUGAUGGCCAGCAGUGGGAACUGACUCAUAAACAUGACAUCUCACAAAUCCUGGAGCUUCCAAAACUUGGAAAAUGCUCUGCAGGAAAGGUAUGUUCCCCCAAAAUGUCACCUACCCUUAGGUUACAGAAUACCCUUUCAUGACGCAGUACCACUGGGAAACACAACUUGGUUCUUGAUACUCGUGGAUUUAUUUAAGUGAGCAACAAAUGAGAAUCUGUCCCACUGCUUCCAGUUAGUCAGAAGCCUGUUUAUUGAUUCAGUGUGCUAUUCCACAUCUUCAGUAUGACAUGUUCUUUAGUGUCUCUCAGUAGUGCUACAUUCAUAAUACUGUUCAUCAAGCCCUGGAAUUUCAGGGCUUGCCUGAAAGGAGAACAGGCUCACUGCAGUUGCUGCAUGUGGUCCUUGCAAUGCCCAAAACAGCUGCAUUCCCUGGUGGGUGGGCUGGGGUGUCUGGGGGAAGUUAAUCUUUUCAACUGUGUUCAUCCAUUUUGACCUUUUUCUCUAUUCUUCAUUUCUAGAAGUACCCGGGAUUCUGACCAAUUCUGUGAUUUUUCUCUUUAUUUUGCAACUUCCACAUAGACCUGAACAGAAUCUCUGUUUUUAAUCAAUCCCUACACUUUUUGUAAACUCCAAAAACCUACAGCUCUUGAUUCUGCACUCUCAAUAAUAUGCACUGCUUUUGAAAGGAACUGAAGUGUUCCCUCAUCAAUAAUGUUCAUAGAAGUGCCAGGAGAUCGCAGUAUAAGAAUAUCAGAGCAGAGAAAGAAGAAAAUUGAAGGAUCAGUAUUUACUUGGCUAUUCUAGCAAGCCUUCAGUCCCACAGCUGUUAACUGUAUCCUGAUUUACUUUGUUAAAUAGUGAACAUUACAAGCACGGGACUUUUGUGGAGAAACAGGGAUUCAUCAUACAAAUAUACGUUUAUGAUGGCCUUCAUCACUCACAAAAUAUAAGCAGAGAUAAAUGGCACAAAAGAACAUGAAGCCCUCUAUUCUGCCAGUCAGAGCAAUACAGCUGUUAUAUAAUAUGAUGAGCAGCGAUGAAGAAUAACGUGACCAGUAGUAAAAUAAUAACAACAAUAAAGACAUUAAGGCAAGCAGAACAGGACAAAACUGAUCCCAUUUGAUAGCCUUCAGUCUGUGACACCAUAUGUAUAAAGUGCCAACAGAUUCAAGCAAGGACAGUAAUUAGUCAGUCUUGGCAUCUUCCUAAUUAAAAAAUCAGUGAAAAUACCACAAAGCACAAUCUCCACGUGUACGAUACUGACAACACAAAGUGGAGACUUCACAAAGUUCUUCAAAAAUCUCUUCAGCUCAGAAACGCUCUCUCUGAGGAAUAUUCAUAAAUAUGAUCCAGGUAAAGAAUACAGAUGUAGCAUGUAACAACACUUUGGUGUGGUUUGAACACAUUGGUGGAGGCACCGGGCAGGUAACCAUCUGGCAGGGAAGGCUUAUGCUCAUCUGCUCUCUUGGUAGUGAGUUUCCCCACUGCUGAAGGGCAGAAGUAAAUCUAUUCCAGUCAUUCCCUUCUGUUGUGAUAGCAAAAACUUAUCAAGGAUGUGUUAUGUUAAAUCCUAUGACAGCAACCAUUUCAAAGCAUCAGACAAGACAGAUAAUAAAAGGGUAAAACCCACAAGGAAAUAAACCAUGCACUACACAUGUAAAGAUUUCUUUAUCAUGCUUAGGUAGAAUAAUCUAUUACUGUGACAAUUAUUUUGUUACAGAAAGCACCACCAAAAAACAAACUGAUUGUACAAACCACUGCACCAACGCAGCUGAAUUUUUUCCAGCUUCUCCAAAGACAGUAGUGUGGUUUUGAUUUAACAAGUAAUUAAUGAAUACAUAAACCCUGGACAGAACUUUAAUCUAUCCCGGUGCCAAAUAAUUAAUCAUUCAUUCCACGUUUAAUCCUGUUCUGAUAAAUGUAAUUAAUAUUUCAUCAUGGCACUGCAGAGUAGAAGAGUACCUGGGAGCAGAGAAAAGCAGCCUUCUAUUUCUCCCUCACUGCAACUCUGGAGUGAAAGGCACUGUCUACAUCUGACAGGUAAUCCAGAAUACAGUGUUCCCCUGCAGCUGUAAAUUAGGGUUUAUGCAUGGCAUACAUUGUGAUUGUAAGGAGGCUUUUCUUCCUCUGACCUAUUAUUAUUAAAAUAGCAAAACAAAAUAAAAACCAACAAUGAGAAAUAAGUCACCAGAGCUUGGUAAACCAUUUUUCUGAUCUGACAGCAUUUGGGAAACCAGUGCUUGCACCAAUGUCUUGGUCUGUACAAUGCCACUGAGCAUAUGCCAGGGCUGUGGACAGAGAACAAAGCAUGUGCAGAUUGUCUGCUUCUGUCCACAGAGAUCAGUGCUAUGUGCACAAACAAGUGAAUGAAGAUUUAAGUAAUAAUUUUACUGCAGGGAAACUCCAGCAUCUCUUUUGAAAACUUUAAGUGUAAUCAAGAAAUAUGUUAAUAGGUAGAAAAGUAGAAAAUUAAAUUGCAGGAAACCCUAUGCUUAUUUUGCAGGGUGUCACAUCUCAGGAACCCACAAAUUUCAGCAAAGAGUCUUGUGAAGAAGAUUCUAUAACAAACAAAUUGCAUUGGGAUCCUGCUGCCCAAUUACUCAGAAACAGUGAGGCAUCUCUUCACAGUUAUCUCCUUGCUCAGCAUUCUCCUGUAUAGCCACAAAUUGUUUUUGCUGAACAAAUUUUAACUAUACUUACAAUUAUAAUUUCCUCUCAUUCAAAUACAGGGAAAAAAAACCUACUGCAAUUAGUUAUCCCAGUUGCCCUGAUGAAUAUUUACAGUCCUUGCAAGAAACCCAGCUUGUGGUGUACGAGUCUCCCAGUGUCACACACUGACACUGAAAGGAGACUGUAAUUUAUCCCCUUCCAAAGAUCCUAUAUUAUGCUGCUAUCUCAGCUGUCAUUAAUCUAACCCUCUGUUAUGUCCCAUAUCAGUAAGAAGACAACUUGCAAAUUGGGGGGGGGAACGGGGGGGAGUGUCUCUGGCAGAGUAAGACUAAACAGAGCUACAUGAAAUCAAGUGAUUUGAGUCCAGGGGCCUGCCAGAACUAUUUUAAACACAAACUCAUUUUCACACUUGGUCACUGUUCAUUGUGGUGACUUCUAUCUGUAACUUCUAGACAGCUAUUCUAAGUAAUUAUGCUGGAAAGCAUUUGCACAUUUACAGAGAAUUUUGAUUAUGGAUAAUGGUUUUAUCAGCUAAGAUUCAUUUCAAAAUAUUUUGUUUUCCAAAUACUCUAAAAAUGCACCUAACCUCUUGCUACUCAAAUAGAAUCUAAAAUUGUUAUGAACCUGAGUCAUUCCCCUUCUCAAAGCACUUCUCAACAUUAUAAUAAAUGUAGAAAGCUCUAAGCACCUAGGAAGUACUAGUAUUAUGUUCAUAAGAAACUACUAAACUGGUUAGGAGCAAUGGAUCAUUGAGGCAAGGAUUCUGCUUCCGACACUCAGCAGCACAAGAAGCUUCAAAGGAAUAAAUCCCUGCCUGCAAUAUAACAUAAACAAUACCAAUUUUUACUUCUUGUGUUUCUGGAUUGAUUCAAAAGUUAUUUUGCACCAGAGCCAACUUAACAAAUGAUUGUAUACGCCACAUUUUUAACUUCUGCUUGCAGCAAUGGAUGCUAUAUACCCUUGUUCCAAAAGUCACACGGCCCUGAUGGCCAGCUGCUGCACUGUCACCUCAUUUCUGAAUCCCACAAGGAAACCUUUUCCAUAUUCAUAAACAGUGCAUUCAUUUCUAAGACCCUGGGAACCUUCACUGAAGCUCCACAUUAUAAUCCAAUUGAAUCUUUAUCUCCUAAGAUCAACAAAACCUUAACUCAUUGUAGAAGGUGUGGUGCAAUGUUUCAUAUACAUGCACACACACAUUAUUACAUCUUUCCUAUUGUAUACGGAUUUUAUUCAUUCAUCCUUAAGUCAUUCAUUCUGUUUGUUUAAAAUGGGAAAGAUUAUUCAUAGAUGUGAAUCUACCAUUCUGUGUUGGAUUUGAUGAGGCUGUAUUAUAAAAAACAUCCACCUGCUUUAUAAGAAAACUGACAUUGAAUUAAAACAGUAGUUAUUGACUAAGGUUAUAUCCAUUCAUGCUAAUACGACCUUCAAUUAGUGAAGCAAACACAUCUUGAGAUCCAGCCAUUUUAUGAGACACUUGCUAUAGGAUGAAGAAAUGCUGGUAUCCUUGAAAAAUUCCACUCUCAGGUGACCUUCUACUUUUCCAGGCUCAUUAGGCAAAACAAAAAUAAUUGUGCCGUUUCUUUCUGCUCUCUCUUCAGAAGGUUUUCAGUAAAUCUCAGAUUACAAGUAAUGAUUUAACCCACAAAUUCAUACUAAUGCAUAGCAGAUUAGACAGUUAACACAUUCAUUCCAUGCAGUUCCCCAGAGACGUUGGUUUACAGUGUUUUCUUUUACUUAGCAGCAGCUAUUGGCAUUUAAAUAGAAACCACUACAAAUCCACUCAGUUCAAGAUUUUUGAAAGAGUAAAUACCAUUGUGGCAUCUCUAAAUCAGCAAAGAAUGCAGUGGUCCCUCUUACUUUCAGCCACCUUUUUAGGGACUGGUAGUUUUCUCACUGAGAUGUCCAAACAGCAGCAAAGCUCUUCUGAAAGCUGGACUAACAUCAGUGCUUAAGUAGCUGAAUCAUGAGACUUUUUAUUCACAUUCAAAAAUAUAGCACCUUUGACAUGCAAGGAAGUAGAGAUGCAUAUUAUGCUCCUGUUUCUAAGGUCUAAUAUGUUUAAAGAAGUUUGUGGCUCCUAAAAAAGUAUUUGUCCAAGCCAGAAUGAAAAAUAACAAGAUGAUCAUUUUGAAUUUUCUCUGGUUUUUAUAUGAGCCUUUUCAGCCACAUGCUGCAGGCUACAAAGGAGUUAGAUACAAUGCUUAUUUUUAAACAGUUGUAUUUCUGUUAGGUCACCUACAGAGAAUUGAAUUAGAUAGAGAUGCUUAAGUAUACCUAAGCAGAAAAAAAAAUACCAAUAAGAAAUCAUAAGGAAGUAACCAUCAGAGCUAAGAACAGUGCAGACUUAAUGAGACUGAUAAGGAUGUUAAACCAGCUCUGAAAGACAAGAACUGGCUGAACAAAGGAGGACUUUCCCAGGAAAGGUCGAAGAGUUGGCAGGGCUGGAGGGGGAUGCCAAUGUGUACAGCUGGUAUGUGUUGGCACAGCUUGAUGAAGUCAGCUGAGGUAUAACAGCUGACAUUAAUUAAAGGUUUGGUUGCACAAGGCUAAUAGACAGAAUGAGAUAAUGGACUGAUACAAUCGGAUCAUGAUAGAUUCCCAAUGUAGGAGAAAGAAUCUGAAAUAAGCUAUGUUAUAUACAUUAAUACUCUCUCAUUUAGUUUGCUGGCAUACUGCCUUUUGUUUGCUAAACUAAAAAAAAAAGCUUGCUAAACAUCACUUUAGUUUGCAUAUAUGUCAAAUAUGUCCCAGUACCUUGUUUCUUUUGAAAGUUGCCUGCUCAUCUGAAACUAUUUCAAUUAAAAUUCCCCUGCAGCUCUGUCAUCAUGCACGCGUUCACGCUUCUCCAGCACUCUCCCAGGUAGGUGAGCACGGAGACAUUUGUGGGCCUUCCAGCAUGCCACUACAGCCCUGGUAACACUCGCAGCCCAUGAGCUUCCAAGGACAUAGAGCUCUCAUGAAUCAUACGAAAAAAGCUCUCUCUAAAUCAAACUUCAAGCUGGUAAAGGGCAGUUAGUCUCUUAAAUCACCCUUUGCUCCAAAGCUUUGAAGAGGUUUUCAUAACUUCAGCAAGCAAAUGUUUGCACUGCUUCCAUAAAAUCUCUUUCAGCCAGGGGAUCAGGCUGGACACCCAAACCAGACUCCCAUCCUGUGACUGGCUCAUGCUGAAAUUUAGCUCCCUAAAUACUGCUGUGACCACAAGACCGGUGCUUUUCACAUUUCUGAGUGGAAGUUCCUGAUAUUUACCAAUUCCGUUUCCCUAAACUACACGAACCGCAGCAGCUGGAAAGCAGGAGUCCGCGGGAACGUUCUGUACAACCCUCCCGUGCCCCGUUGGCGGCCAGAUCGCAGCCCGCAUCGCUGCUGCAGCACCAGCCCCACCUGCUGCCCCGCGCCGGCAGCUGCAGCCGGAGCCGGAGCCAGGCCAGACAGAGCGAGCCGGCAGUGCGCUCUGCAAAGCUCCUGCUGCUUUCGUGGGUUAGCGAUAUUUACGUGACAUUUUCUUGCACGGCAGUUCUAAUGCAGACUUGCUCUGCCUUAGCAGAAAGGAAUAAAACCAAUAAAGGAAAAAGGCUCUGAUAUGAAUGUAGGUAAGUGCAGUCGUUAAGGUAAGCACUCGAGUGGGGGCUGUUGAGCAGCCUCGCAGCACCUGUGCUGAGUGUCUCGGGGAGAUGGCAGACAUAGUGGACUAGGACAGCACGUUCACAGGAGUACAGCUGCAUUUCCUAGAAUGCUGUUUCUACAUUGCACCUUUGGAGCAAAGGAAUAUCUCAUUUUCCCGAGAACAUCUUCUGUUGAGCUGCCAACAAAAAGUUAGUUUGCAACUAAUUAAAAUAUGUAUAUACAGUGCUGCUUUCAUGCCCACAUGCAAUUUGCUCACAACUUGCAGGGAUGUGUGCCGGCUUUUCUUAAAAGGGAUUUUCUUCCUUUCACAGCUGUUUGACAGAAGACCUUCUGAUGUCCCACAGACCACAGCCUGAGAAACAGCCUGGCAGCUGGGGCUAUGGGGAUCCCUCAUUUAUCAGUUUUUUGAUUCACUCGAGUCAGGCUGAUACAUCUUCCUGGUUUCACUGCUUUUUGAUUUGACUUCUGUUUCCAGCAUCUGUAGUGGAUUCUUUUAUGUACAAUCACCUAAAACUGUGUCUUGUACACAGGUAGCAAAAGCAGCAGUUUGAUAGUGCGGUGUUCAUUUUGGCAGUGUACUUUAUCAAAGAUGUAUUUUGCCUGCAGCAAAACGAGCUGUCAGCUGUUACAAUGAACUGUCACAUAUUCACAUUUUAAUAUGAAAAAUAAUUAUUCCUCUGUUUCUAUUAAACAGCUACCUAUUCUUCAGGCUGGAAAUCAGAACUGCUUUCACAGAGUAUCCAGCUCGCUACUGAAAUUAUUUAAAUGGGUCGAGUGUAACAUUGCAAAUGCGAUCAAGGCAAAAAGCCAGUCAAUAAAACGGCCGGUUUUAUCCUAAUAAAACAGGGAGGCCUUUGCCAUUACUCUGUGGCAGACAGUUAAUUCUCCAGCUGUACGCAACAACUUCAGGACAUCUGGCCACUUAACCAGUGAGUAUGGGGUCCAGAAUGCCAGAGGACCCAUCAGUGAAAUAAUGAGUGGUCUGACUCACUUAUACUGAAGUCCCUGCACACAGCUCUGACAUCAGUGGUCAAAGCUAAAUUAACGUGACUGCAAAUGCUGGUCUCACUGCAUCCUCAGCACCUGCCUUAAGAUACAGCUGGGUACACCAAGAGCAGCAGUGGUCCCAGCUGGGACACAGACAUAACAGUCUCAGCCAAGACAGGGUGGCUGCCUACUGCUCUGCUCUGCAACAAGGCUGUGGCUUACCUGUAUCCUAAUUUAGGAUGAAGCACGAGUUCAAAAUGUAUGACAAACAUACAGUGCAGUCAAUACUUGGUACUGCCUCUGCGUAAAACAAUGAUUCUUUGCUUCAGUCACCCCAAAAGCAGCUCCAGCCCAGGCUGAAACAUCAACGGAGUUGCACAACUAACCCAGCCUGCUCCUCCCCCUGCAAGCCCUUCCGUGAGACCCCAGGUAGUCCUGCACACACAGAAAUCACCUUGGUUUAUCAAACACAUGAAACUAACUUUUGUUGCUAUAGUUCAGGGCUUAAAAAUAGACUUGACGUAUGGAUUUUCUGUUUUAUAGGCAGAGCUAAGGUUCAAUAUAUUGAUUUGAGCUGUAAGGCUUACUUCAUUCAGGGUCCAAUCAAAGCAUGUGGAUUUCUACAACCUCAGGUGCACAGUUUUGAUCUGACUGCCGGUGCAGAAGUUGUUAGACAAGCCUGCAUGAGCAUGUUAGCGGGCAAUGCUGACAUAUCUGCAUGCUUUCAUUCCUAAAAUGAUCCUAUGUCAUGUGCAUUUAGAGAAUUCGUUUCCUCCAGGAUAGCUCUGGAGAGCAGUUAAAAGAUACCUUCUAAUGAGGUAACUGCCCUCACUGCCGUUUGAUCAAGACUUAACGUCACUCCUUCCUGUGUGGUGAGUUUAAUGCAGGUAUCUUUGGUAUCUCACAAGAAAGGCAGUGAUGGACUUGGAAGGCCAAGAGGCCUCCUCCCCUACCUGUACACUCAGGGUCAGUUACAAGGAGGCUGGGCUAAUGCAUACGAAAUUUACAAUUUUAGUGAUAGGAAGUUGUUACCGCUUAUUUGUUUCAUUAUAGUAGUAAGCUGUCACACAGCAGCCCCCAGGCACACUCAGACUACAGAGCGCUUCCAAAAUACAGGAAUUAACCCAUCACACAGAGAAGGAAAAUAAGAUAAGGACACAGCAGAUCAGGGGUAAAAACAGGACAAGACCGCACAUAUCCCUCUUGCCAAGGUGAAUUCCUCCUCUACUGCAAUGGGCAACCGUCCAUCACCUACCAUUUUGCUUAUUGCUUGUUCAGUUUUGGAGAAGUCUGUCUGAUGAAAUGAAACAUCACCUCCAAGAAAUGAGGUAGCUGUUAAGUGAGAGUACUAGAUUCACACAGGCUUCAUGGCAAAUGCCUGAGGACUGAUCUAUUCAGCCCGGAAUGGAAAACAAUUUUGCUUUUUUUUCAUUCCCACACGGCAUAAGUCUUCCCUGUCUCUCUGUUGUGCUAGUGAAAGCAAAUUUCACCAGAAACUGAAUCUAUUUACAAAUAUUUUGAUAGAUUGAGACAGCUACUCAGGAAAAAAGAAAGAUUAAAUACAUGCAGAUAAGAUACAGUGUCACAUGAACAGCUGUUACACAGUCCCACAGCCUACGUGGACUUCAUUUUAUUUAUGUCUUUUAAAGAUUAUGUGGGUUUCCCUGUAAAAUAGAAACAAAGUGAACAGUAUUUCUGUUGGUAAUAAAUUAAAGAAAAAUCUCGGAUAAUUAAUCCUCGAAAAUGUGCAGUCUUGACUUUUUCUUGUUUUGGCAGGAAGACAGACAUGCAAAAUGUACAAGCACUGAUCUCGUAUACACUCACGUCUCAUUCUAUAGAUCUGGUUGGCAACUCCUUCUGAGGCUCGCAGUUUCUGACUGGAACAGGUCAUUACGUGUGCUCCUCAAUCCAUCACUUCUGAAGCAUCCUGUGAAGAAAUUGCCAUUAGAAGCCAGUGCAGCGAAACCAACUGUCUUCUAUCUAAAAGCAUGACUUGCAUUUUUGUAUCACAUCUCAUUUUUUUUAUUCCUAACAGUACCUAUCUAUCUGUAUAGUUACUUUCCUGUAGCAGCAGAGAUCAUGCUGUACCUACUUUUUCUGCACCAAUUACUGUUAUUUUAAGACUGUAUAGAAACGUCUACAAAUAAACAUUAGCUGAAAGUUC
This is a long non-coding RNA of Numida meleagris (helmeted guineafowl), 12818 nucleotides long. RefSeq lists it as uncharacterized. The transcript is spliced from 5 exons. NCBI's taxonomy places the organism in Eukaryota, Metazoa, Chordata, Aves, Galliformes, Numididae. The record is from RefSeq and is a predicted model, not a curated record.